This 579-nucleotide long non-coding RNA is filed under the name Bos taurus (domestic cattle). Its description in RNAcentral is "long non-coding RNA NONBTAT011723". The record is from RNAcentral. Lineage: Eukaryota; Metazoa; Chordata; Mammalia; Artiodactyla; Bovidae.
GUUAUUUUUACAUAAUUUCACAGUGGUUAAAUUCCUUCUAGAAAGUAAAUUUUAUUUUUAUCUGAAAUAGAUUAAUGCACAAUAAAGAAUGUAGGCAUGCCCCCAAAUCAAAAAUUUGAAAGAACUUGGGAAUCACUCUUCUAAAGUAUGGCUGUUAAAGCGUAUGACACUUGUAACAGAUUUGUAUUUAGAUCUGCCCUCAUAAUGAGGAUUAUCAUCUAUUCCUGCAACAUUUAAGAAUGGCCAGUAGCCUGUAGACUCUAGAAACAAUCAAACUCACCUAAUGGAGUCUCAUGUUACAUUUACAUGUUUCAUGAUUUUACUGUUUCAGAAUUCAGAGUGUCAUUCCCUUAUUAAAUAUGAUAAUUCUUUUGACAAUAUAAUGGUAACCAAGUAUUUCCGUAGAUGUUCCCAGUUAAUGCAGUGAUAUUAAAACUUGCAUGAUUGCACAAUUUGUUGAAUUCAAGAUAACUUAAGUCAUAGAAAGGCAAAUGAUUUUCCAACACUUGCAGGUUUAUUUAAACUCUUCUGUACCCACCACAUACUUUAAAUCAUGACAGGAAAGUUGCCACGUGCAUG